This 455-nucleotide ribosomal RNA is filed under the name uncultured bacterium. RNAcentral describes it as "bacterial SSU rRNA". It matches the Rfam family "Bacterial small subunit ribosomal RNA", at positions 56 to 524 of the family's 1533-position model. The record is from RNAcentral.
UGCAAGUCGAACGGAAAGGCCCUUUCGGGGGUACUCGAGUGGCGAACGGGUGAGUAACACGUGGGUGAUCUGCCCUGCACUUCGGGAUAAGCCUGGGAAACUGGGUCUAAUACCGGAUAGGACUACGGCCUGCAUGGGUUGUGGUGGAAAGCUUUUGCGGUGUGGGAUGGGCCCGCGGCCUAUCAGCUUGUUGGUGGGGUGAUGGCCUACCAAGGCUACGAAUCGGUAGCUGGUCUGAGAGGAUGAUCAGCCACACUGGGACUGAGGCACGGCCCAGAACUCCUACGGGAGGCAGCAGUGGGGAAUAUUGGACAAUGGGCGAAAGCCUGAUCCAGCAAUGCCGCGUGGGUGAAGACGGCCUUCGGGUUGUAAAGCCCUUUCAGUUGGGACGAAGCGAGAGUGACGGUACCUGGGGAAGAAGCGCCGGCUAACUACGUGCCAGCAGCCGCGGUAAU